GACGAACGCUGGCGGCGUGCUUAACACAUGCAAGUCGAACGGAAAGGCCCUGCUUUUGUGGGGUGCUCGAGUGGCGAACGGGUGAGUAACACGUGAGUAACCUGCCCUUGACUUUGGGAUAACUUCAGGAAACUGGGGCUAAUACCGGAUAGGAGCUCCUGCUGCAUGGUGGGGGUUGGAAAGUUUCGGCGGUUGGGGAUGGACUCGCGGCUUAUCAGCUUGUUGGUGGGGUAGUGGCUUACCAAGGCUUUGACGGGUAGCCGGCCUGAGAGGGUGACCGGCCACAUUGGGACUGAGAGACGGCCCAGACCCCUACGGGAGGCAGCAGUGGGGAAUAUUGCACAAUGGGCGGAAGCCUGAUGCAGCAACGCCGCGUGCGGGAUGACGGCCUUCGGGUUGUAAACCGCUUUCGCCUGUGACGAAGCGUGAGUGACGGUAAUGGGUAAAGAAGCACCGGCUAACUACGUG
RNAcentral lists this ribosomal RNA (468 nucleotides) under uncultured bacterium. Its description in RNAcentral is "partial 16S ribosomal RNA". It matches the Rfam family "Bacterial small subunit ribosomal RNA", at positions 28 to 507 of the family's 1533-position model. The record is from RNAcentral.